Molecule: ribosomal RNA, 253 nt
Filed under: uncultured bacterium
Lineage: Bacteria
Description: partial 16S ribosomal RNA
Rfam family: Bacterial small subunit ribosomal RNA
Source: RNAcentral
UACGUAGGGACCGAGCGUUGUCCGGAUUCAUUGGGCGUAAAGAGCUCGUAGGCGGCUGCUCAAGUCGGAUGUGAAAACUCGAGGCUCAACCUCGAGCCUGCAUUCGAUACUGGGCGGCUAGAGUCUGGUAGGGGGAUCUGGAAUUCCUGGUGUAGCGGUGGAAUGCGCAGAUAUCAGGAGGAACACCGGUGGCGAAGGCGGAUCUCUGGGCCGUAACUGACGCUGAGGAGCGAAAGCAUGGGGAGCGAACAGG